RNAcentral lists this ribosomal RNA (505 nucleotides) under uncultured Geopsychrobacter sp. RNAcentral describes it as "bacterial SSU rRNA". It matches the Rfam family "Bacterial small subunit ribosomal RNA", at positions 8 to 493 of the family's 1533-position model. Lineage: Bacteria; Pseudomonadati; Thermodesulfobacteriota; Desulfuromonadia; Desulfuromonadales; Geopsychrobacteraceae. The record is from RNAcentral.
AGAGUUUGAUCAUGGCUCAGAACGAACGCUGGCGGCGUGCCUAACACAUGCAAGUCGUACGAGAAAGGGGCUUCGGUCCCGAGUAUCGUGGCAGACGGGUGAGUAACGCGUGGGUAACCUGCCCUCGAGUGGGGAAUAACCCAGGGAAACUUGGGCUAAUACCGCAUACGCUCGCGACCUCCCUGGAGGUUGUGAGGAAUGGUGGGGAUCGAAAGACCUACCGCUCGAGGAGGGACCUGCGUCUGAUUAGCUAGUUGGUGGGGUAACGGCCUACCAAGGCGACGAUCAGUAGCCGGCCUGAGAGGGUGUCCGGCCACACUGGAACUGAGACACGGUCCAGACUCCUACGGGAGGCAGCAGUGAGGAAUCUUGCGCAAUGGGCGAAAGCCUGACGCAGCAACGCCGCGUGGGUGAUGAAGGCCUUCGGGUCGUAAAACCCUGUCGGGUGGGAAGAAAUGGCGGUGGGCCAAUACCCCAUCGUCUUGACUGUACCACCAGAGAGCCC